UACGAAGGGUGCAAGCGUUACUCGGAAUUACUGGGCGUAAAGCGUGCGUAGGCGGUUUGUUAAGUCUGCCGUGAAAGCCCCGGGCUCAACCUGGGAAUUGCGGUGGAAACUGGCAGGCUAGAGUACGGUAGAGGAUGGUGGAAUUCCCGGUGUAGCAGUGAAAUGCGUAGAGAUCGGGAGGAACAUCUAUGGCGAAGGCAGCCAUCUGGACCAGUACUGACGCUGAGGCACGAAAGCGUGGGGAGCAAACAGG
This 253-nucleotide ribosomal RNA is filed under the name uncultured bacterium. RNAcentral describes it as "partial 16S ribosomal RNA". It matches the Rfam family "Bacterial small subunit ribosomal RNA", at positions 524 to 776 of the family's 1533-position model. The record is from RNAcentral.